UUCCUACGGGAGGCAGCAGUGAGGAAUAUUGGUCAAUGGACGGAAGUCUGAACCAGCCAUGCCGCGUGCAGGAAGACGGCUCUAUGAGUUGUAAACUGCUUUUGUACAAGGGUAAACCUGAAUACGUGUAUUCAGCUGAAAGUACUGUACGAAUAAGGAUCGGCUAACUCCGUGCCAGCAGCCGCGGUAAUACGGAGGAUCCGAGCGUUAUCCGGAUUUAUUGGGUUUAAAGGGUGCGUAGGCGGUUUGAUAAGUUAGAGGUGAAAUGUCGGGGCUCAACCCCGAAACUGCCUCUAAUACUGUUG
This 305-nucleotide ribosomal RNA is filed under the name uncultured bacterium. RNAcentral describes it as "bacterial SSU rRNA". It matches the Rfam family "Bacterial small subunit ribosomal RNA", at positions 336 to 638 of the family's 1533-position model. The record is from RNAcentral.